RNAcentral lists this transfer RNA (75 nucleotides) under Trialeurodes vaporariorum (greenhouse whitefly). Its description in RNAcentral is "tRNA-Ala for anticodon AGC". Lineage: Eukaryota; Metazoa; Arthropoda; Insecta; Hemiptera; Aleyrodidae. The record is from RNAcentral.
GCCGCGGUGGCGCGGUCGGUAGCGUCUCAGACUAGCACUCUGGUGGUCGCCGGUUCGAUUCCUGCGACUACUGCU